RNAcentral lists this long non-coding RNA (35940 nucleotides) under Capsicum annuum. Its description in RNAcentral is "long non-coding RNA (CANN_LNC010330)". Lineage: Eukaryota; Viridiplantae; Streptophyta; Magnoliopsida; Solanales; Solanaceae. The record is from RNAcentral.
UUUAGAUAAAUUAUACCCACAUAUAAUAACCAAAACAGACUGGUGGUUUACAACACCAUGCAAACAAAAAGUAAGAGCAAAAAGAGUUAAUAAUAAAAUAAGAAAGAAAACUGAUUGGAUAAAAGGAAGUGAAAAAAUUACACAAAAGUUAGAAAAUAUAAACAAUACUGAAGAUACAGUAGAACUAGUAGUAUUUUCGAUAAAUAAAACAGAAAUAACUAUAUUUUCAAUAAAUAAAAUAGAAAUAAUUCAGAAAAAAUUAGAACAAUUAUAUAGUGAAGAUCCAUUAAAAGGAUGGGAAAAACACAAAACUACUAUAAAAAUUGAAUUAAUAGAUAAGAAUAGCAUAAUAACACAAAAACCAUUAACAUAUAAUUUUGAUGAUUUAAAAGAAUUUAAAAUGCACAUAGAUGAAUUAUUAGAAAAACAAUAUAUACAAAAAAGUAAUAGUAAACAUAAUAGUCCAGCAUUUAUAGUAAAUAAACAUAGUGAACAAAAAAGAGGAAAAAGUAGGAUGGUUAUUGACUAUAGAAAUUUAAAUGCAAAAACUAUAACAUAUAAUUACCCAAUACCCAAUAAGAUAUUAAAAAUAAGACAAAUCCAAGGAUAUAAUUAUUUUAGCAAAUUUGAUUGUAAAUCAGGAUUUUACCACCUAAAGCUAGAAGAAGAAUCUAAAGAAUUAACCGCAUUUACGGUACCACAAGGAUUUUAUGAAUGGAACGUGUUACCAUUUGGAUAUAAAAAUGCACCAGGUAGAUAUCAACAUUUUAUGGAUAAUUAUUUUAAACAAUUAUCUAAUUGUAUAGUAUACAUAGAUGAUAUAUUAUUAUAUACAAAAACCAAAGAAGAACAUUUAAAAUUAUUAGAACAAUUCACAGAUAUAAUAGAAAAAUCAGGAAUAAGUCUAAGCAAAAAGAAAGCUGAAAUUAUGAAAAACCAGAUAGAAUUUUUAGGAAUACAAAUAGAUAAAAGUGGAGUAAAAAUGCAACAACAUAUAGUACAAAAAAUAAUAAAUUCGAAAGAAGAAUUAGAUACAAAAAAGAAAUUACAAUCAUUUUUAGGAUUAGUAAACCAAGUAAGAGAAUAUAUUCCAAAAUUAGCAGAAACCUUAAAACCACUGCAGAAAAAAUUAAAAAAGGAUAUAGAAUAUAAUUAUGAUGAAAAAGAUAAAAAACAAGUUCAAAAAAUAAAAUUACUUUGUAGAGAAUUACCAAAAUUGCAAUUUCCAGAUGAAAAUAGAAAAUUUAUAUAUAUAGUAGAAGCAGAUGCAAGUGAAUAUAGUUACGGAGGAGUACUUAAAUAUCGAUAUGAAGCAGAAAAAAUAGAACACCAUUGUAGAUACUACUCAGGUACGUUCAACGAGACAGAAAUAAAAUGGGAAAUAAAUAGGAAAGAAUUAUGUUCAUUAUAUAAAUGUUUAUUAGCAUUUGAGCCAUAUAUUGUAUAUAACAAAUUUAUUGUACGAACAGAUAAUACACAGGUACGCUGGUGGCUAACAAAGAAAAUACAAAAUUCAGUUACAACAAAAGAGAUUCGAAGACUAGUUUUAAAUAUAUUAAAUUUCACAUUUACAAUUGAAGUGAUCAGUACUAACAAAAAUGUUAUUGCAGAUUACAUAUCAAGACAAAGCUACACAGACUGAAAUAGUAGAGGAAGAUACUCUAGAAAAAAUACUUAACACCCUAACUACGCUUUCAAUGAAAGUGGACAGUAUGGGUAAUGAGAUAGAAAAGCUAAAGACUAAUGAAGAUAAACUGAAGUCUAUAGCUACAAAUCAGCUAACUCAGCAGUGUGCAGAGCUAUGUCGACCGGAAGACAUUAAAAAUCCAGAGCUAGAAGGAGACGUUGGGACACUCCAUAAAACCCAUAACAUUUAUCAAUCUACUUCUGCAGGUACAAGCAAAGGAGUUAAUAGACCAAGAUACCAGAAUGUAAAUAUGAACAAAAUAUUUGAAAAACCAUUUACCCCAAAAGCACAAAAAGACCAUUUAUUCAUACCCCCACAAGUUAACACAUACCGAGACAGCCUAAACCAAGACAAGAAAAUAUACAACUACACAGCCCAAAAAUACAUAGAAAAUAUAUAUAGAGUCCAAACCUUUCUAAACCAUAACCCCAGAGCUACAAAUAUCCAAGAACCAAAUACCAAUUAUAUAACCCAAAAACUACAAGGAUACAAUAAACUGAUAGCACUACCCAAAACUAACCCAAGCCUAGUUAAAACUUGUUUUGACUAUGGACUACUAAAUACCAUAUACACCCAAGACGGAGAAGAGCUAACAGCCAUGGAAGAAUUAUAUAAGAUAUUCACUACCUAUAAAAGAAUAACAAAAGGAACUUUAUUUUAUAUAAAAUGUUAUACUGCACCAGCAGAGAUAUUAUAUGAUGAGAUAAAACCAGUGAUACAAGUUGUAAAGAUAGGACUGACAAGAGACAUGAUUAUACCAAAAUAUAUGAAGCAUUUAGUAUUUUUAAAAGAAUAACCAAAGGUACCCUAUUUUUUAUAAAAAUUUACACGGCACCAGCAGAGAUAUUAUAUGAUGAAGUUAAAAAAUCUAUAGAAGUUGUAAAGAUAGGAAUGAAAUGAGAUAUGAUUAUACCAUAAAAUAUUAUUCCACAACCAGAAAUACCUAAAAUUGAGAUACCAAAAUUUUAUGCGAAUAAGAGGAUUAUCGGACUAUCUACAAUUUUGCAAGAGCUAGCAAACACAUACCGUAACCAAAAUCUCAUAUGGAGUUAUUAUUCAAAAGAAAUCAUUACUAAUAUAUUCAAAUUCAAAGGAAUUACGAGAAACAGAUAUGGAAACUAUUAGGCAAUGGAUUCUGACGUUGCUCAAACCAGAGACGGAACCUAUCGCCAGAGCUAUUAGAGAAAUUUUUUUUUCAGAAGAAUUAUUAACCGGAUAUUUCAAGACAAUUGGACAUAAAUAUCCAGAUCAUAAAUGUUUAAAAUGUAAUUGAGAAGAUAAUGAUAUCCCAGAAGUUCAGCUAGAAUAGAAGAAAAAUCAACCAAGAAGAUAAGAACGCCAGCUGGAAAAUACAAGAUAAGAAGCAAUAAUGAAGAUAUGAAAAAGCAGCAGAUACGACAGCGAGAAGAUAUCAACGGAUUAAUAAUAGAAGACAAGCUAUUAAAUUGUGAAAGCGACAUGUAAACUUUCACAAUUUGCUUUACGUAAAUUAUUGAAACCUUUUGUAUAGGCUUUUGACUAUUAUUAAUCUAGGCAUUAAUAAUUUUUGUCUAAUUAGGAGACUUUUUGUAAAGUAGACAAGGUAGAUGAUUUUAGAAACGUGAAUACUCUUGUAAAGUUUCAGUCUAUAAAUAAGAUGAACCGAAGAAAUUGCAAAGCAAGCCUUCAUGUGUUGAAGCAAAAAACUCUCUCUUGCCCACAACAAAUAUUUUGCUUAAUUAUUAAAAAACAGAUAUAUUUCAAUGGAAAAAGCUAUGGAGGAACAAACCUUAGAAAUAUCAAACCUACCCGAACAGGUAUAUUUAUUUAUGAUUAUGAAUAACUAAAUUCAUAAUUCCCAACAAUCNNNNNNNNNNNNNNNNNNNNNNNNNNNNNNNNNNNNNNNNNNNNNNNNNNNNNNNNNNNNNNNNNNNNNNNNNNNNNNNNNNNNNNNNNNNNNNNNNNNNNNNNNNNNNNNNNNNNNNNNNNNNNNNNNNNNNNNNNNNNNNNNNNNNNNNNNNNNNNNNNNNNNNNNNNNNNNNNNNNNNNNNUAUCCAGAUUACCAUGCUAAUAGUGACCGAAGAACAUGUUAUUUAAGAAUAAUCUAGUAUAUAGUAAUCUAAGAUGACCAUAUUUUGUUAUGUACAUGAUUGAAGGGAAUAUUUUGAAAACAGCAUUAUUUAUCUGAUGUGAUGGUAGAUAAAUUUAAAAUACUUAUUUUAUAUGUGAUUAAGGAUAUAGGAAUAAUAGAUAUAAGGAAAAUCAUAUUAGUAAAAAUAUUCGGUAAAGAUUAUAUAGCUAGAAUAAAUUGCAUACCAUACUUACCUAAUUACUCUUAUAAAUACCUAUAUACACAUUAACUAUGAGAAACUAUGUAUAUUUAGAAUUUUGGAAAAUAGAUAUAAAAUAUACAAUUUCUCAGUAAAAAUAUAAAAGAGUUAAUAAGAUUAAAACAAAAAACUACAAAAUAUUAUAAUAAAAUAUUUAGUCAAUUUUAAAUGAUAGAUAAUCUUAAAGUCUUAAUCUUAUAUAUAUACUUAGAGAUAUAGAAAUUAUAGAUAUUAAUGGAAUAAUAUUAGAAAAAGUAUUAGACUAUGAAAUUGAAACUAUAAAUUGGAUAGCACAGUUAUACUUGGAUAAUUACCCAGAUGAAUAUUAUUCAGAUUAAGAGAUGUUAGAAUAUAUUAGAAAAACUAAAGAAAAUCAAGAUAAUCUAAAUAAAGAUAUGAAUAUCGAUAAAACUAACAUAAAUAGACUUAAAAUAAAAAUAUUUAGAGAAGUUAAGAAAUAUCCACGCAUAUAAUGAAUCUAUUUUACAAGUUAUCCGCACCUCUUACAAAUCACCCCUUGCUUAGUAUAUAUUGAAGCAAUUCUAUUUCUUGCUUUCCUUGCCUUCAAAUGAGCGAAGAAAUAUUUGGAGUCUCCAUCACCAUGUUUAAUCUAGGUGGCUCUGGAUUUUUGCUUCAUCACUCUUUCAUGUACCUCCUCCCUUUUCUCUAGCUCUUGCAGUAACAUCCUUUUUUUGAGUGAUCAGUGGCUGGUUGAAAGAGUCAAUAUUCAUUUCCUGUUGGACAUCUUGCAGUGGAGUUCUGAACUUGUUCAAUUUUUGCUCAAUAGUAGAAUAUUAUUGAUUCAACUCCAUUGGGUUUUGGGCUAAUAUAUGUAGUUUCCUCCAGAUUUUAUAGAUUACAUGCCCUUGUAUUUGCAUACCCCAUAUAUCUUGCACCAUACCUUUGAACUUCUCCUACUGAAGCAUUAAAUUAAGUAAUCUAAAUGGUUUUCUUAAAUCUGAAUGUUGGGUUUUAGUUGUUAGCAAUACUGAUGAGUGAUCAGAACAACCCGGUUCAACAUAUUCUAACUCUAUGUAAGUGUAUUAUUGGUACCAAUGUUUUUUACCAAACACCCAGUUAAUGUGUGAAUAAAUUCUGGCCGCUCCAUCUCUUUUAUUACACAAAUUCAUAUUUCUCCCCCUGCACAAAAUUUUUCCCAUAUAUAUAUCUCAUCUAAGCAGUCUUGAAAAUCUUUAGUUUCUUAGGGUAUGGCCAGCUCUCCAUUCUGUCUGUCGGAGUGCAAUAAUACUGCAUUGAAAUCCCCUAGCAUAAUCCAAGGUUCAUUACAUUUCAUGGCUAAAGAUUUUAGGUGACCCCACAAACUCAUUCUUUCAACCAUAGUAUUAUAUCCACAUAUAAAUGUCAUGUUGUUAUAAAAGGAAGUGUAUAUAUCUUCAACUUUGCAUUGUAUUAAUUGUGCUGCAGUAGCUAUCACUGUAACCUUGACCUUAUUCCCCUUCCACAUUAGCCAUAUCCUACCAUUCAAUGUAGUAGGGUAAUCUGUAAAUAUAUUCAAAUCCUUGCCAAAUACUUUCUUUAUUUUAUUAGCAUUGUGAGCCUGUAUUUUUGUUUCCAGCAGACUUGUUAUAUCCACCUUAUACUUUUGCAUAAAGGUUUUUAGUUCCUUCUUCUUAAAGGGCUUAUUCAUCUCUCUAAUGUUCCAGGCACUUAUUAUCAUUUAGAAACACCUAAAUCAGGUGCUUUAGCCUUGUUUAGUGCUACAGUUUGAUCCCCUGAUGUAGCUCCCUUUGUUACCUUGUCUCCUUCUGGAUUUGCUGACUCUCCAGUAGGCUGUGCAGAGCUCUUACUAGUGUUACAACUUUCCUUAUUAUUCUGCAAUGUAGUCUCAUUUGUAGUGGUAUUUUGAGGUAGCCAUAUAGGUAUGAAUCUUCAUUUUCUGGGAGCUUGAGGUCUGUGCAUCUCUAGUUCUUUUCUUUGUUUAUUCUUUUCUUUUUGCAGUCCCCUUGUUCAUGGUCCCACUUCCCACAAUCAGUGCAUGCUAUCGGACGCCAUUCAUAGUUUACUUGUUGAAUUCAUAUUGAACCUUUCUCUUCUAGAUAGAUUUCUAUGGGUAGAUCUUGCGUUACAUCCACUUCUAUAAGGAAUCUCACAAAUAAGAUACAUUCAACCUCUACAAUUAAUCAAUCAACACAUAUUGGCUUCCCAAUUGUGCUAGCAAUUCUACUCAAAUUCUCCUCUGACCAAUAAUAGACUGGAAGACCUGGCAGUGUAACCCAAAGAGGAAUAAUUCACAGCAUCUCAGGAGUAAAUUAAAAGUUUUUCUCCCAAUUCCUCAGAAUCAUCGGUCUAUUAUUAUAUGUAUAAGGGUCAUUCUGCAUAAUUUGGGAUUUAUAUCCACCUGUAUCAAAUAAUAAUAUGAAAUAACCCUCAUCUUGACGAUAAACCCUAGGUACUUCCACAUAAUUCCACACACUAUAUACAAAUUAAAGUAUCUCCUUAAAGCUUGGAUUACCCACCAUUUCAUGUACUAUUAGAGCAUUUUUCCUAUUUGUUUCAUUCAAUUUUCACCUCCGUUGAGCUAAUUUGUACCACUUUUAGGCCAUCUUUCAUCAUAGGGGAAUGUAUGCGAGUUGCAAGCCACUUUGGAUCUGUCAAUUACCUGCAAUCAGAACUUCUUUUGCUGGAGGUGGCAGAGUUACACCCACAGGUGGUUUAAUAAAUCUUUGCUUUUGCACUACAUUUGAGCUUUUUUGGUUCGUCUUCCAAUCGAUCCUUUAAGAUUUUGGCUCUGUCAUCAAGCACUGGAAUCACGGUGUCAAUCUUUUCCUUCCCUAGUAAUAAACUCCCCAAUUUCAAUGGGGCAAGAGUGUGGGGUAAACCAGAUUCAGGUGUUAUCAUUCGUCCUUGUUGUUCUUUUCUAGAAGUCUCCAAGCUUUCCGGCUGCGCCGGUGGAUUUGUCGUUGUCUUCCACAGUCUUGCCAUCACGUCUGGGCGCAAGUUAGCACGCAUUACUUAAUGUGCGCCGAGAGCUCUUUAAAAUGAACUCUGUAUUUUACCCAGCCACUUAUCUCAGUUUUUUAGCCAACCAAGCUAUAUAUUUGUAAUACCCGUACUUUUGACUAACUUGAAAUCAUCUCAAAAAUGUUAGAAGCUUUCUUUAAAAGAUGAAUCCACUUUUGUACAUGUGGUAUUUUUAAUAUUUUCACUUUUUGUCAUCAAGAAAAUUGUAGCUUUCCAACGAUACCAAUUUCAUUAAAAUCCAACAUAGGAGGAGAAAGUUAUGGCCAAAAUACAGAAGGUAGUAAACACCCCCAGGUGCGACGGUGAGGCCGACGGACCGUCGGACUAGCAACGCAGCAUCGCCUAUAACCGUCGCAAGGGAAACAGUGAGGCCACCUUCUGGAUAAAGUGCGACAGGCAAGUUGAUGGACCGUCGAACUGGCAACGGACCGUCGCUCAAGACGUCGUUACUUAGGCAUUAAGCCCUUUUCUUGGUCCACGUACGAUGGUCGAAAUGACGGACCGUCGCCCUAGCGAUGGACCAUCACACGAGCUGUCGCAGGUCCUGAUUCAGCAAAUUAAAGCCAUUUUAAAAGGGUUUUGGUCUUUUACCACCCAUUAAUAAACCUAAUUAAAUCCGUCCAAAGCUCAAAAAUUCAUUAUUUUUUCACAACAACAAAACUAGGGUUUUUUCUCUAACAUUAAUCUCCAGGAAUAAAAUCCAAAUCUUCUUCAAGAACUAAGAGAUUCAAAUUCUUCAAGUUCAAGAAUUUCAAGAAACACAACUCAGGUAUGCUUAGUGUUCAUUCAUGGACUCCUUCCAUCCAUAAAGCCCAAGAAUGUCUUUUCAAAGUUAAAGUUUAUAGAUUUCGUUUAUGAAUUUCAUGACUAGGCUGCUCUUGUUCAUGUUGAUAAUGAGCAAUUGAAUUUUAUUCCAUGUUGGGGGAUAAAUUUUAUGUGGAUUUGAUUAAUAUAGAUGUAGAUUCAUGUAAACCUAUUAUUAAACCUUUGAAUGAUGAAAUUAGAAUUGAAUCAUGAUAUUUAAUUGUUGUAUAAUGUUGUUUACACAUACUAUGCCUACCAUGUAUUUUUUUAAAUGCCUAGAUGAAUGAAAAUGCCCAACUAGCAGGAUAUCAUGAAAUCCCCAUGUAUGUACAAGUUUAUGCAAAUCACAUGUUUGAUGAAAUGUUUCAAUAAAUGUAUUAUGGAUUAUGAUGUUAGUGAUGUGUUCAAGUAGGUCAUGCUUUGUCAGUUUCCUUCUAACGAGUUCUGGUGGUACUUGUACCCGAAAUAUUAGCUGUGUACCUAGAUCAAUGUCAUGUUUCCAUGAUACUCUUAGUCAAGCUAUGAUCCUUAGACUUCAGAUAGUCUUAUGACUCAGGAAAUCUCCAUGAUCUUAUGAACUCAGUCAGUUGUUAGAUGUCAGUAGUAUUUGGUAAGUUAACGAAAGUCAAUAAGCCAGUCCAUGUUCAGUUCAGUAAAUCAUGUUCAGUGUCUAUUUAGAUGGGAGUAGAAAUUAACACAGACUAAACCCAAGGGUGGGAACUCACCUUUUAUAUGAGGGUGUGAUUCUUAGAAGCAAUCCUUGCAUUCCAGAACUAUGUAGCCAGCAUAGGUUGGGACAUCAUAGCCUACUAUAUGAGGGUAUAUGAGGUGGCUUAACCUGCUAUAUGAGGGUUCCCACCGUUCUUACUAGAGUUACCUAUUAUAUUAAGGUCACUCACAUGUUGUCCUUACCAGUGGCGCGGUAUUGAUACCCUUCCAAUCAGGGCAUAGAUUGGACCCCAAUUUAGCUAUAAUGCAUUAUUUGGGGCAUGUCGGUUAGAUAACUACCUCUCACAGUCUCAGUAUCAGUCUUAGUAAAAGAACUUAGAUAGUUCUUCAGAAUUUCGGACUAUUAGAUACAAUACGAAACUCAGUUGUUCCAUCAGAUUCAAAACUAUCAGAUACAGUCACCCAUGUUAUCAGUUAUCAUAAUUCAGUCAUUAGUCAUGUUAGUCAUCAGUAUAAUUAUGUUAUCAUGAUUUCAGAUAUAGUUACUAUGUAUGCAUGCAUGUAUUCUUAUGUUCAUAUUAGUCAGUUAGCCAGUAUUGUUUAUGCAUAUAAACACCAUGCAUUCAGCCUACGUUACAUGUAUACUAGUACAUUCAAAGUACUGACACAUUUGCGCUAUGGUGUCUUAUACCAUAAGUUCAGAGACACGAGCUCCAGAGCAUCAGUAGGUUCCAGAUAUCAGCAAGUCAGAGUUAGCAGUGAGUCCUCAUCCUUCGAGGACAUGAUUAUUUAUCUAUUAUCUCAUCAAUUAGUUUAUUAGUUGGAGUUUAUUGGGGACAUGUCCCAUCAACUCGUUACUCAGACAGUUUAGUCAUUUAGAGGCUUUCUAGACUAUUAUAUUCAGACAGAUAUUUCAGUUGUUUUGGGUAUUUCAUACCCCAUUUAGAUGUUAUGUUUUACUUCAGUUAUGUGAACCUUAUUGCCUUUCAAUUUAUGUUUCUAUAUUAUUCAGUACAUUAUGCAGUAUAAAGGUAUAGAUAUCAGUCAUGGGCUAGCUUGUGGUCCUUCGGGGUCAUGAACACCGUGUAGCAUUCCAGAUAUCAGAUUUGGGGUGUUAUAAACUUGGUAUCAGAGCCUAAGGUUCAAUAGAGUCCUAGGAAGUCUGAAAGCCGUAUCUAGUAGAUUCUUGUACAUGGGUGAGUUAAGCGCCACAUUUAUGUACAGGAGGCUAUGAGAUGUUUUAGGAAUAGUUUUCCCUCUUUUAGUAUUCAUGUUGUGCUAGUGAGCGUAAUUUCAAUCUAAUCUCUCAGUCUAAUCUAUUUCUUCUCCUUAUUUUAGAACAUGCCUCUCAAGAGAAGAACUCAGCCUGUCCAAGAAGAUUCCUUAGACGAACAUGUUUCUUAUCCAGAGUUCAGAGUUGCAUUCACUACUCUUGCUCAGUCAGUUACUGCUCAAAAUAUAUGACUAGUUAUCAUUUCGGCCAACCCAGUGGCCAAUUCAGCUGUAGCCAUGAUUCAGGACUUCACCUAAAUGAAUCCUCCAUCCUUUCUUAGGUCUAAGACAGAAGAGCACCCUCAAGAAUUCCUAAAUCAGGUGCAGAAGGUUACAGACAUAAUAGGGGUUACGUCUAGUAAGAGUGUCGAGCUAGUAGCAUAUCAAUUGCAGGAUGUGGCUCAUACUUGGUUCAAGCAGUGAAAGUUAGAGAGGGCAAACAAUGGAGGGCCAGUUGAGUAGGAGGAGUUUUUUUCAACGUUUCUUGAUAAAUUCUUUCCCCUAGAGCUUAGAAAAGCUAAGGUGCUAGAAUUCAUCAACCUCAGGCAGGGAAAUAUGAUAGUGAAAGAGUAUUCUCUUAAGUUUACUCAAUUAGCCAGAUACUCUCCUCAAGUGGUUGUAGAUAGCAGGGUAAGGAUGAGUAAGUUUAUUUCAGAGGUGAACGAUAGCGUGGUUAAUGAGUGCAGAUCCGCCAUGUUGAAUAGCAACAUGACUUUAGCUAGGAUCAUGAAUCAUACUCAGCAGAUAGAGGAGCAGAAGAUUAAGAUGAGGGAGAAAGUUAUGGAAAAAUACAAAAAGCAGUAAAAACUGCCCAGGUGCGACGGUGAGGUCGACGAACUAUCGGACUAGCGACAGACCGUCGCCCACGACCGUUGCAUAGAAAACAGUGAGGCCAUCUUCAGGAUAAAGUGUGACGAGCAAGUUGAUGGACCGUCAAACUUGCGAUAGACCAUCACUACUUAGGUAGUAAGUCCUUUUCUUGGUCUACGUAGGACAGUCGAAACGAUGGACCAUUGCACGUGAUGUCGCAGGUCCUAAUUCAGCAAAUUAAAGCCAUUUUAAAAGGGGCUUUCUGGUCUUUGACCACCCGUUUAAAUACCCAAUUAUAUCCAAUCAAAGCUCAGAAAUUCAUUAUUCUUUCACAACAACAAAACUAGAAUUUUUUCUCUAAUAUUAAUCUCCAAGAACAAAAUCAAAUCUUUUUCAAGAACUAAGAGAUUCAAAUUCUUCAAGUUCAAGAAUUUUAAGAAACUCAACCCAGGUAUGCAUAGUGUUCAUUCAUGGACUUCUUCCAUCCAUGAAACCCAAAAAUCUCUUUUCAAAGUUUAAGUUUAUGGAUUUCCUUUAUGAAUUUUAUGAUUGGGAUGCUCUUGUUCAUGUUUAUAUUGAGUAAUUGAAUUCUAUUCCAUGUUGGGGGAUAAAUUUUAUGUGGAUUUGAUUAGUAUAGAUGCAGAUUCAUAUAGACCUAUAAUUAAACCCUUGAAUGAUGAAAUUAGAAUUGAAUCAUGAUGUUUAAUUGUUCUAUAGUGUUGUUUACACAUACUAUGCCUACCAUGUGUUUGUUUAAAUGCCUAGAUGAAUGAAAAUGCCCAACUAGCAUGAUAUCAUGAAAUCCUCAUGUAUGUACAAGUUUAUGCAGAUCACAUAUUUGAUGAAAUACUUCAAUAAAUGUAUUAUGGAUUAUGAUAUUAGUGAUGUGUUUAAGUAGGUCAUGCUUUGUCAGUUUCCUUCUAAUGAGUCCUGGGGGUACUUGUACUUGAAAUAUUAGUUGUGUUCCUAGAGCAUUGUCAUGUUUCCAUGAUACUCUCAGUCAAGCUAUGAUCCUUAGACUUCAGACAGUCUUAUGACUCAGGAUAUCUUCAUGAUUUCAUGAACUCAGUUAGUUCUCAGAUGUCAGUAGUAUUUUGUCAGUCAACGGAAGUCAGUAACCCAGUCCAUGUUCAGUUCAGUAAAUCAUGUUUAGUGUCUAUUAAGAUGGGAGUAGAAAUUUGCACCGAACGAACCCAAAGGUGGGAACUCACCUAUUAUAUGAGGGUGUGAUUCUUAGAAGCAAUCCUUGCAUUACAGAACUAUGUAUCCAACAUAGGUUGAGACAUCAUAGCCUGCUAUAUGAGGGUAAAUGAGAUGGCUUAACCUGCUAUGUGAGGUUCCUACCGUUUGCAUGUGCAUGAAAACGAACAAACUAGAGGUGGCAAAAUCAAAUUCAAUUCAUCCAAUUUGUUCAAUUCGAUCCAAUUUAUUUAAAUUUGAGUUGGUUAUUGAUCUGCCUAUUUAUUAGUCCAACUUGUUAAAAAUUUUGUUGAUAUAUAACUCAAAUUGAUUUUUGAAAAAUAUUGUUAAAAUAUUUAAGAAAAACCUUUUUUUAUAUGUUAUAUAUAGUCAUAAGAAAGAAAAACAUAAUUUUAUUCAAUAUCAAAAAUAUAUAUAUAAAAUAUAAGUAAAGUGUUAUGAAACAUGGUAGAUAUCUAUGUAUCAAAAUAGGUGCCAUGUGUCAUGCCUAUAGUUAGGCUCUAAGCCAAUUCGAACUCCACCCCUUAGAAUUGGAUAAGUUUUCCUUUUUCCCUUUUGACUAUAAAUAGCCAUGGUUAUUUCUGAGAAGAGGUGAAUAAUAAAAAAAGACAAUUCCUUCGUAUUUCUCUCAUUACAUUGUUACCUUUUUGCUACUUUCAUAAAUAAUUUUAUAUCAUGUUAGCAUUAGUCUUUAUCAUUAUAAUUAAAGACUUUUCAACAAUUGUAAAGGUAAGAAUUUACUUGUCUUAAAAUAAUAUCAAAUAUAUCUAAAGGUGAAUUUAUUUUCCUAGAUAUAUCGGUCAAGACCUACAUAUCUUGGGUACUUGAUGCCAAAAUUCAUUUGGAUGUGAUGGGUCUAGAAGAUACCAUCAAAAAUAAAAAUUGGGCAUUAAAUCAAGACCGUGUCAAGGCCAUGAUAUUUCUCCAUCAUCAUCUUGACGAGGGUUUGAAAAUGGAAUAUCUCACUAUUAAGGAUCUUUUUAUAUUGUGAAAUAACUUAAAAAGAGAUAUGACUAUCUGAAGAUGAUCGUAUUUCUACUGGCACACUAUCAAUGGACCCAUUUGAGAUUACAAGAUUUAAAAAUAUAACUGUAUAUAUUUAUCUUGAAGAAUCUAUGAUACUCCUAAAAUUUUAUUUAAAUUAAUAAUCGAACGUGAUGAUAAUUGUUUAAUUGAUAGUGAAACAACACACAACAUAUUUAAAGUUGGGAAAUACUUUUCAUACUUAGUUAGAAUAAAAGAAACUUACUUAGAAGAAAAUAAAAUGUUACAACAAUCUCUGGUAAUUUGGAACUAAUUAAAGUCUCAAAAUGAGCUACUAUAUUUCUGCGUAAGGGAACAAAACUAGUUAUAGAAGAUGCAUCAUUCUUUUCUAAAUCCCCCAAAACCUUAUUGAGUUUUGAAGAUAUACGCUGAAAUGGAUGUCAUGUUGAGACAAUAAAUGAACUGAAUGUUGAAUAUCUAGGCAUUACUAAGAAUGUCUUAGUCCAAAAACACACGAUGGAGAAAUUACCAAAUUUAUUUUUCGACUUAUACUAUGUAGAAAUUAAUACAGUUGAAGCACAUUCUGUCCUAAACUAGAAGUAAUCAAUCUAAAUACAUUUGUGAUUUGACAUGAUCAAAUAGGUUAUCCUGGCUCAAUAAUGACGAGAAGAAUCAUUAAAAAUUCAAAAGGACACCCGUUAAAGAACCUGAAGAUCCUUACAAGUGAUGAAUUUUCAUGUGCUUCUUGUUAUCAAGGUAAACUAAUAACUAAACCAUCACCACUAAAAGUUGGCAUCGAAUACCCUCUUUUUUCUAGAACAUAUACAUGGUUAUAUAUAUGGACCUAUUCACCUAUUCAGUGGGUCAUCUAGAUAUUUUAUGGUCAUAAUAUAUGCAUUUUCAAGAUGGUCUCAUAUGUGUCACUUAUUAUAACUCAACUUGGAAUUUGUGAAAUUAUUAGCAAAAUAAUAUGAUUAAGGUCGUAAUUCCUAGAUUAUCCUAUUAAGGCUAUUUUCCUCGACAAUGAUGGAGAAUUAACAUCCCAAACUUUUGAUGAUUAGGUAUAUCAAUUGGGACAAGAGUUGAACAUCAUGUGCUCAUGUUCAUACUCAAAAUGGCCUCAUUGAGUCAUUUGUUAAGCACCUAAAAUUGAUAGCAAGGUCACUACUUAUGAAAAUAAAAUUGCCCGCUACUGUUUGGGAUCAUGCUAUCUUGUAUGUAGCAUCACUAGUUUGUCUCAGACCAACUCAUAGUAAUAAGUACACCCCAUCACAAUUGGUCCUUGGUCAUAAGCCAAAUAUUGCUCAUCUAUAAAUUUUGGGAUGUAUUGUAUAUGUGCUAGUUACACUACCAUAGAGCACUAAGAUGAGCCCUUAAAGAAGGUUAGAACAUAUGUUGGGUUCGAGUCACCCUCUAUAAUUCAUAAUUUUGAACCAUUGAAGUGAGAUUUAUUUACUACUCAAUUUACAGAUCGAUUUGACAAAAUGAAUUUUCCAUGAUUAGGGGGAGAGAAACAUGAAAUUAAAAGAGGAAAUUGCAUGAAAAAUUUCAUCAUUAUUUCAUUUGGACACACGUACCCCUAUAUGUAAAAAUAAGGUCCAGAAGAUCAUUCACUUAUAGAAACUAGAAAAGAAAAUUCCAGAUGCAUUUACUGAUUUGAAAGGGAUAACUAAGUCACAUAUCUCUAUAGCGAAUGUUCCUGUUGUUAUACCCGUGCUUUUUCUUAGCUUGAAAAUCCUCUCAAGGAUGUUUGAACUUACUUUGAAAUAAGAAUUCAUUCUUAUACACAUUGUAUUUCCAUAAUUUUCACUUCCUAUCAUGUGAAAAAUUGAAAAAGUUUUCGAUCGAUAUAUAAUUUGCCCAAAUCUGACACUCGGCCGAAGAGUUAGAGCAUUUUUAGUGAGACAGUGUUUGACCUGAGCCUUCAGUGUGUCGCGGAGAUAGCUUAGAUGGAAAUUAUCAAAUUCCAGUGUUUGCUCUGCGAUACUAACGCAUCGCGCCAAACUUCUAAGUCGUAGAAAAGGUGGCAACGCAAUAGCUCUGCGUCGCGCCACCAUGCAAUUUCCAAUUACACGGCACGAUAGCGCCGCGUCGCGCCAAGGGCCCAACUCGGGAAAUUUUACUAAAAAUUUAAUGACGUGUCCAGGUUUAAAAAGGGUCAACUUCCUACCCCUAUAUAAUCCCUUUAACACAUGAUUCAUCCAUUUUUUCACGCAAAACAUAUUAGUUUCUCUCAAGUAUAUCUCAAGAACAAACUAGGGUUUCUAUUGGGGAUUCAAAUUCACCAUCAAUCUUCAUGAAAUCACAAUCUAAGGUUGCAUAGUGUUCAUUCAUGGACUCCUUUCGUCCAUGAGUUCCAAGAAUUCUUUUUAACUACAAGUUAUGGAUUUUCUUCAUGUUUUCAUGCUUUGUAUGUUCUCUUUCAUGUUGAUAAAUGAGGAAUUGAUUUCUAUUCCAUGAUUUAAUGAUAAAUUCCAUGUGGGUUGAUUAGUAUAGAUAAAGAUUCACAAAAUCUCAUGACUAAAACCUUGUAUGAUGAAAUUGUAAUUGAACCAUGAUGUUUAAUUGCUAUACCAUGAUGUUUACAUGUAUUAUGUCUGCCAUAUGUUUGAUUAAAUGCCUAGAUGAAGGAAAUUUGCCUAACUAGCAUGAUAUCAUGAAAAUCCCCAUAAUUGUACAAGCUUAUCCCUUUUAGAAGUUUGAUAAAAUGCUUCAAUAAAUAUAUUAUGGUGAUUAUCAUGUAUUUAAGAAUAUCAAGUCAUGUCGAUUUUCUUCCAUCGAGUCCUGGGGGUACUUGUACCCAAAAUAUGAGUUGUGUGCCAAGAGCCAUGUCAUGUUUUCAGGAUACUCUUAGUCAAGCUGUGAACUCUUAGACUUCAGAUAGUCUUAUGACUCAGGAAAAAUCUCCAUGAUCUAAUGAACUCAUUCAGUUAUCAGAUAUCAGAAGUAUUUCGUCAGUCAAUGGAAUUUAGUAAAUUUAGUCCAUGUUCAGUUCAGUAAAUCAUGAUCAGUGUCUACUCAGAUGGGAGUAGGAAUUAGCACCGAGUGAAACCAAGGAUUGGAACUCACCUGUUAUAUGAGGGUGUGAUUCUUAGAAGUAAUCCUUACGUUCCAGAACUAUGUAGCCAGAAUAGGUUAAGACAUCGUAUCCUGUUAUAUGAGGGUAGAUGAGGUGGCUUAACCUGUUAUAUGAGGGUUUCCACCUUUCUCAUUAGAGUUACUUAUUAUAUGAAGGUUACCCACACGUUGUCCUUACCAGUGGCGCGGUAUUGACACCCUUUCAGUCAUGGUAGAGACUGGACCCCAGCUCAACUAUAAUAGCAUAUAUAGGGCAUGUCGGUUAAAUACUACUUCCCGCAGUUUCAUGUUACAGAAUUAGGACUGUAAGGAACAGGCAACUUAGAUACAGUACGAAACUCAAAUAGUUCCACCAGAUUCAGGACUGUCAAGUACAGUCACCCAUGUUAUCAGUAUUAUUCAGAUACAAUGUUUCAUGUUAUCAGUCAUAUCAGUUAUCAGUUAUGUCAUGUUAUCAGUAUCCAUACUUAAUAGUCAUGCUAUCACGAUAUUAGUAUUAUGUUAUCACAUUGCCAGUUACAGUUACGUAUUCAUGUAUGCAUUCUCACGUUCAUGUUAGACAGCCAGUUAGUAUUAAUCAUGCAUGUGAACCCUUGCAUAUAGCCUACCUCAUAUGCAUACUCAGUACAUAUAUACUGGCGCAUUUGCGCUAGGGUGCUUUCUUUUUAUGUUACACCAUAGGUUCAGAGACACAAGUUCUAGAUUAGUAGUAGAUUCCAGAUUCAGCAGUCAGAGUAGAAGUGAGUCCUCAUCCUUCGAGGACAUAAUGAUUUUCUAGUAUCUCAUUGAUUAGAUUAUUAUUUGGAGUUAGUUGGGGACAUGUCCCAUCAAAUCUUUAUUCAGAUUUUUCAGACAGUAGAGGCUUUCAGACUAGAUGCAGACUAGAUACAGACUAUCUUAUUUUAGACUUCAGUUUUGUUUUAGGUAUUCUAUUACCCCACACAGAUGUUAUGUUAUUCAGUUAUGUUUAUGAUCGAACCUUAUGGCCUUUCAGUGCAUGUUUCCGCAUUAUUAUGUUAUCUUACGUAGUAUACAGGCACAAAUAUCAGUCAUAGGUUAGCUUGUGGUCCUUCGGGGUCACGAGCACCGUGUAUCCUUCCGGUUCAGGCUACACCUGUCCAAAUUGAAGUCCCAAAAGGACCAUCUAGUAAUAUCAUAGCUUCUGAAAUCCAAAUACAUUUGAAGUAUGGUAGACCAUUGGAUUCAAAGAAUAAAAAACCUAGAAAAAGAAAUACAAAAAAUGAUAAAUAUAUUAUUAUAUAAGACUCUCUUGAAGAGACUCAAAAUUUGAUUAAUCCUGAUGUUCCUGAACAAAUCAGUAAACUCGAGACUCAAGCAAAUGAAGAACUUUCAAUAAGUCCUAUUAGGGAUAAGGUAAAUUGAGAUCAAUUAAAAAUUAUGGUGGACAUUUUUGCAUAAAAUGUCACCUUAAAUAUCAUGCAAGACAAUGAGGACCUUGAACCUCUAUCUGUCGAUGAAUGUUGACAAAGAAAUGAUUGGCAAAACGGAAAGAGGCGGUUCAAUCAUAAUUAAACUCAUGUGCUAAACAAGACGUUUUUGGACCUGUAGUCCAAAGCCCAGAUGGUGUAAAACUAGUCAUCUAGAAAUGGGUCUUCAUACGUAAAUGAAAUGAUAAAAAUUAAAUUGUAAGAUACAAGCCAUUCCUUGUUGCACAAAGAUUAUCUCAAAGAUCUGGUGUCGACUAUAAAGAUAUAUAUUCGCCCGUUAUGGAUGCAAUAACAUUUCAAUACCUCAUCGAUCUAGUUGUAUAUGAAAAUAUUGAAAUUCAUCUAAUGGUUGUGGUUACAGUUUAUCUUUAAGGCUCACUUGUUAAUGAAAUUUAUAUGAGGAUCCCAGAAGGAUUAAAAAUGCUUGAAGUAUUUAGUUUAAAGUCUCGGGAAUUAUAUUCAAUCAAAUUAUAAAGAUCAUUAUACGAUCUAAAACAAUCAUGGUGUGUGUGGUAUAAUUGCCUUAGUGAGUACUUGAUAAAUAAAGGUACAUAAAUGAUUGGAUUUUUCCUUGUAUUUUUAUUAAGAAAAUGACAUCAUCAUUUGUUAUAAUCGUUGUUUAUGUUGAUGAUGUAAAUCUUAUUGGAACUCUAGAAGAGGUCCAAACUAAAAUUGAGUAUCUAAAGAAAGAAUUUGAGAUGAAAGAUCUUAGAAAGACAAAACUUUUUAUUGGUCUAUAGAUUGAACAUUUAGAAGAUGGGGUCUUCAUCCACCAAACUGCCUAUAACGAGAAGGUUUUGAAAUGAUUUUACAUGGAUAAAGUAUAUCCAUUAAGUACUCCAAUGGUUGUUCGAUCACUUGAGGUGAGUAAAGACUGCUCUGAACUCUAGAAGAGGGUAAAGAGAUUCUUACUCCUGAAGUACCAUAUCUCAAUAAUAUUAGUUCACUUAUGUAUCUUGCUAAUGCUACAAGGCCAUAUAUAGCAUUUUUGGUUAAUUUGCUAGCAAAGUAUAGCUCUUUCCAUACAUGAAGACACUAGAACGGAGUUAAGCAUAUAUUGAGAUAUCUAAGAGGGACUAUUUAUAUGGGUGUAUUUUAUACUAACAAGGCUGGUGCAGAUCUCGUUAGUCAUUUAGAUGCAAGUUAUUUUUCUGACCCAUAUAAAGCUUGGGCUCAAACAACCUAGUGUUUACAUAAAGAGGUACUGCUAUAUCAUGGCGCUCUACAAAAUAGUCUAUCGUUGUUACUUCUUCAAAUCAUGCUGAGAUAAUAGUUAUUCAUGAAGCAAGUAGAGAAUGCAUAUGAUUGAGAUUGAUGAUACAUUUCAUCAAAGAGAGGUGUGGCCAGAAGUUUUAUAUUAAGGUACCCAUAGUCCUAUUUGAAGACAAUGUAAGAUACAUAGCUUAAUUAAAUGAAGUCUUUAUAAGGGAUAUAGAACGAAGAACAAUUCACCAAAGUUAUUCUUCACACACAAUCUCCAGAAGAAUGAUGAUAUUGAUAUACAACAAAUCUGUUACAAUGACAAUCCGACAGAUUUAUUCACUAAACCUUUUCCAACUUUAACUCUUGAAAAGAUGGUACACAAGAUUGGAAUGCGAAGACUAAACCAUUUCAAUUAGGGUCUUCAUUAGGGGGAGUAAGAAUAUGUGUUGUACUUUUAUUCCCCUUAACCAAGGUUUAAUCCCAUUGGAUUUUCCUGGUAAGAUUUUUAAUGAGGGAAUAGUAAAAUGUAUAUUCAGUAAAUGUUUCUUUACAUGGAUAUCCAAGGGGGAGUGUUAUGAAACAUGGUAGAUGUCCAUGUGUCAAAAUAGAUGUCAUUUGUCUUCCCUAUAGUUAGGCUCAGAGCCAAUUCAUACUCCACCCCUUAGAAUUGGAUAAGUUUUCUUUUUUAACUUUUGGCUAUAAUAUAAAAAUACUACUCCUUCAUAUUUCUUUCAUUGCAUUGUUACCUUUUUGCUAAUUUCUUAAAUAAUUUUAUAUCAUAAAGCAAUUAAAACUAGAUAUUAACAAUGAUACCUAUCCACCUCUAGCCAUCAUCAACAAAAACUCCAAUCACCUAUUCAUAGUCGGUAUGACUGAUUUGGCCUCUGGUCUUUCUAAUUUGGUUUGCGUGAAGAAACUAUUAUAUCCUUAGAAAAUUUUCCUGAACUAUAUCACCCUAAGUUUCCUAAGAAACCUAUUUUACUUGUCGAGCCUAAUUAUUUGCCUAGUAUAAGUGAAGGAAAACGUGCAAUCAGUGUUAGUAAAGGUAAUAAUAUGAAGUACAUAGACUUGGUAAAUCCCAACCUACAAUAUGAAAGAAUUCAUCCCCAGAAACAAUCUCAAUGAAGCCAAUCACAUAUAAUAAUUGGAUCUCAAGUUUCACCUGGACAGAAGAGGAAGUUUUGAAGAUGAAUGCCAUUGAAGAUCUCCAAUGAUACAACCCGAACUGGGGCCUUGUCGUAAUUGACAUCUAAAGUCCAACCAGGACUGGGGACCACCCUAUUACCCAGCCCAACCUCCAAACACAUACCUUGGGUUGGAUGAAUUUUGAGCGUAUAACAAGAUAUUAUUUUUGUACAAUUCUAGACUCUGGGAUAGGUCCAUAACUGGGAUCAACCCAAGCAAGUCCAACCAUCCAAUACCCAACCAAUAACUAUACAAAAACAAAAAUAAUAACCAAAUACCAGUCCAUAACAUAAUAGGAUGGAACAAUCAUAAAUACAGUAAAACAGUAUCAUCCUCAAUACCAAUACUAUUACAAAGGCUGAUACUACUACCGAGACCACCCAUACCAACCCAUAGUAGUUCCAUAAAGCCUCUACCCAAAAGUAAAACAAUAUCCAAUUGGGACAUGCCCCCAACCAUAGCCAAAUCCAAUGUCUAUGAAAUAACUAAAGUAUGUAAAAAAAUUGAUGACAUGAAAUAGAGCCUUCCAGAAUAUGGAAGAUUGCCACUUUAAUCCAACUGAGCUGAUCCCAAAUUCGAUCACUAAGCAGGAAGAGUAGAAUGGUUGGUUCUUGCAUCGCAUGGGGAUACACACGCCUGAAGAUGGAUUAGUGGGUGAAUAUGCUGGCAUGCACUCAGGAUAAGGAUAAAAUACUAUCAACCUUUAAAGCUAAGUAAACUAACCAUAUGCAUUCACAACCAUACAUAUAUAUAACACCAUGCUGCGAAAGGGAAUCGGGUUUAACAUGCCUUUAAAACCAUUAACCUUGGUUUGUAUAGCUUAACCAUCCUAGAACCAUCCAUAUGCUAUAUGGGUCCAGUGUAACCCCCUGAAUUGGCCCAAUGCAUGUAGUCCCACGAACCGGAGAUACCAUAGGAGUAGGGUAUUCCCAAGUACCCUUCACUUUCAACGAUACAUAUGCACAAGUGUACUUAGGGAAUUUCCAUGUACCCUAUGAGUAUCAUAAUGGUCAUUAUGACCAAUCCUUAUGUCGGCAAAUAUGAGUUUCUAGUGUCUGUCCAUUGGACUCACACCUUUACGGUUAGCUAUCACACCCCGCUAUUAAUUCUCAAUUAAAACCAUUACCACACAACCAAACCACUAUUCCAUUUAUUAUUAACGAAAGCUAUAAGUAGUGGGAUCAUCAUACGGACUAUAGCUUGCAAGCAAUAUACUUAGCCAUCAUUUUAAGAAGAAGGGAUUCCCAUGUACCCAUAGAUUACAUUAUUAAUUUGACUUUGGGAAAUCCCAUGUAGACCACAAGUGUUCAUUAUUAUGCUUGCUUUGGAAUUUCCUUGUACCCUACAAGACUUUCAAUUAAACCAACCAUAACCACCAAGACCUUCUAUUAAACCAUUCCAAAUUAUUUAAACAAUUUAUACCAUUUAGGGUUUCAUUACCAAGUUAUACCAUGCACAGUUCAAUGAAAGUCCAACAAUUUAACCAAAACAAUUCUCAUAGGUAUUUUAUCUAACAUGUUGGAGGCAUGAUAUUUCCAAAGCCAAAACCAAGUAUUAAUUAACCAUUACCAUGAAACCAAAUGCUUAAACCAUUAUAAUAAUAUGAAAACCAUAAGUAAAAGACAUGGGAAAACCAUAACCAACCAUUGUAACCAAAACCCCCUAACAUAUAUUUGAAAACCUAAAACCAUACAACAUUUAUGUUGUGAAAACAAUUCAUAAAAUAUGAAUUUUGUUGGAAAUAACAAUGAGGGAGGAGUAACAUGCAUUAGAUUAUGAAGAUGACAGAGAGAAAUCACCCUUGUAAGCCCCAAAUUGAUCCCAUUGGUAAAACCCUAGCCUUCCUUGACCCAAGAGCCUUGAGAGAAUUUGAGAGUAUUUUAAGAGAGUUUAAGUGAUUGAAAAUAGGUUAAAUGAUGUCCCAAGAGGGUUAUAAGUCAUGGCGCCUUAACAGGUUAAGAGGGGAAAUGUCCAGAUUACCCCCAACUUAAACUGCUUAAAAUUCUCGCAGGAUGGUACGACCAACCCAUACCAACCGUACCCUACCAUAUGAGUGUUACCCACUACUAAUACCCUAGGCCUCCCCUUGGACUCCAACACUGUCCAACAUACAACCACCCAAGCAAAAUUCAUACCCAAGUAUACGAUUAGUACCCUUAACCCAUACCCAUAACAGCAUCAUGAGGGGUUGAACACUAUCCAAUAUAUGAGUUGGACUAUACAACUUAUACCCUAUCCUCAUGAAUCAUGUUUAUCCACUCGUACUUAGAUCCAAGUUAAGAUACUAAGUUUCAGAAUAAGACAAGGAAAACCCAAACCAAUGACCUAUUACCAAGCAUAUGACUCAUACCUAACUAGUCAUACAAAUUCUAGAAACUCAACCACCCAACACCAUCUAAUACUGGACAACAUACGACUGGGUCACCUUUUUCAUAACCCAUUAUAUGACUAGUACCCCAAAUCGUAUGAUGUCCAGAAGCCAAAACUCAAGAGAUUUUCUAAGGGUCAAAACCCAGGGUAUUUCAUCCACCUUGCAGUUAUUGGGAAAUUCUCUUAUGGCUGGAUGGAAUUGGAUGACCUCGGGAUUCAAAUACCUAAACAAUGCAAAAUCAAGGAGAUAAUAAGAUUGGUUUACUUAGAAAUAGACAUAUUCUUAUGAGAUUUAGUUAAAUAAAAGAUUUUGUCAAUAUGAUGUCAAAGAAUGUGUAUAACAUAACUACCAAGGAUAGUGUAGAUUAUUAAAUUAGGCCAUUCAAAUAUGAUGCCAAGUUCAAGCUAGGUGAAAAAAUAACACAAGCAAUGGCUUGGAUUUCCUCUUCAGGUUUACUCUCUACUUUCUCUGUGAAAAAAUUCUCUAUUUCCCUAGAUUUAGUUGUUAGAAAGAACAUAAAUUUAGAUUUGGCUAUGAUUAAUAAAGCUUGACCUAAUUUUGCAAGAGUCAAAGUUUAAGUUGAUUGGCAGCUAUGUUGCCUAAUUUUGUGAAGCUAGAUGGAGUGAAGAUCAACACUAAUGAGAUAGGGGUGUAGAAGGUGAAGUUUCAAUAUGUCACAAUUCCUAAAUAUUGCCAUACCUGCAAAUACAAAGUCAUCAUGAGUCGAGAUACAAAAGUUUACAUCCUAAAUUGAGAAGUCUGGUAGAGAAAGAUAAAGUAGAUAAUGAGGUGAAUAAUUGGGAGGAUAAUGAAAUAUUUGUGUAAAGAAGGUACAUUAAUGGGAAAAUGGUUCUAGCUAAGUAAAAACCCCCUAACAGGAAGUUCAAAUAGGAAAAAAGUACUAAUAGAUUAAUCAAUGAUGACAAGGUGGUGACAUCUCCAGGGAAAAAGAGUAAGGACUAAAAAUCCCUUUGAUUUAUUGUAAGAAAAAGGAAAAAAAGAAAAUCUAGUGAUUCCUAUGAAUAAUACUGAUUUGUCUAUAAAGGAAAAAGAGUUGUUAAAUGCAACUGAAUUCCAACAAAUUAAAGUAGGGGUUACACAUUAGAAAGGGUUAGAUAAGCAGGAAACCGUAAGAAAGUAAAAUGGAAAGAGGAAUGAAAACUAAGCAUAAAUGCAACAACCAGUACAAGUAAUGUAGCAUCACAAAAGUAAGAUGUAGUAACAACAUUUUCAGUGAACAAGGACAAGCUAAUUAAAAUAAGCAACAAAGAAAAUUAUCAGAAUAAUGAAAAAACAUAAAAUAAGAACAACAAGAUCCCAGUAGAUGAUAAGUCCAAAAUAUCACAAGAUAAUGUUUCCACCAAAGAAUGGAUAGCAAACUCUUUCUAUAAGGAACAAAGAUGAGGUACAUAAACUGUAACUAUUGAAGGGAAAGAAUAGGAUAUGAUAACUGAUGGGGUAGUAGACCAUGGAUGUGAUGAGUCACCUUUAAAAUAAUAGAGAUAGUAAGUGUGGAACAGGUGCUUGAUACCGAAAAAAUGUUGGUCAUAUAGAUAAUUUAUAGGAUUUUGAAUAUGAUAGGAUUGAGAAAAAGGGUGUAGGAAGUGUAGAUAAUCCACUAGCAGUAGUAGAGAUUCUAAUAGCUAUUUAAAUAGAUAAAUUCUUUGUAAUUCUUAGUGCUAUUAAGUCCCUCCCAAAAAAGCAUUACAUAAUGUCCUCACUCAUAAGGUUGGAAUAGAAGCAGUACCUGAUAAAAAAGGGAGAGGUAAAUCGCAUUAGAAUGGUACUAGGAGAUCAAAUACACAGAGAAGCAGAUAUAUCCCCAAGAUUAAUCAAGGAUUCUAAGGCCACUAGAAAAGGGAAAAACAAGGAAAUGGUGAUGCAUCUCAACCAGUAAGGGCACAACCAAAACCAAAGAGGUGGAUUAUCACACAAAUAUAUAAAUAAUUAACGCCAUUAUUUCAAAUAUUAGGUCAAUACUUAGGGUGUCCACGAGAAUAUUGAGGAAUGAGUUCCUAUUCACAUACUUGGGGUGUUCCAUUUUUUAUAUGAGAAAAAAAGGAUUCUUAUCAGAAUAUAAUGUACAAAAUAUGCUCCAAAUUACAAGGCUAGAAAGCAAAACUCCUAUCUUAUGGAGGGAGAGUCAUUUUAAUCAAGCAUGUAGUACAGAGCAUUCUCAUCCAUUGUUUAUCUGUAAUGAAUCCCCCUUGAAUGAUCUUAAUAAUAUCCAAAAGAUAUUUGCUCAAUUUUUAGGGAGCAGUUGUAUAGAGGCAAAGGGAAACACUGGACAAAGUGAAAAAAAUUAUGCUUACCUAAAGAAGAAGGAGGAUUAGAAUUCGGUUGAUACAAGAUAUUUCCAUUACACUCUUUAUACAAGUUAUGUUGGAAUUUCAUGACUAAACUAUUUGUAUGGAGUAGCUUGUAGUCCAAAAAUAUUGCGAAAGUGAUAACCCAAGCAUAGUAAUGUGGGAAACAAGAUUAGAAGGAUCACAAGUAUGGAAGAAAAUGUUGCAAGCUAGAGACCUAAUAGAGCAUCAAAUUCUUUGGCUAAUUGGGAAUGGAAAUGCUCAGUUUUGGUUUGACAACUGGACAAGAAUUAAAGCUUUGUAUAAUGAAAAUAAAAAGAGCAUGGAAUAGGAUGACAUAUAUCAGCAUGUAAGGGAACUGGUAAAUGAAGAAGGAUAGAGUUAACAGUUUAUCAAUGAACUAUUUCUAGAAGAGAUAGCGAACCAUAUUCUGGAAAAUAUUAGACCCCAUAUCAAUUCAAUAAGCAAUGAUAGGUCAAUAUGGAUGCUUGAAUCAAAUUAAAAGUUCAUAGUAACAUUUUCUUGGUAAUAUAUGUCAUAACCCAAUUCCUUAGGUCAUGAUGGCGCCUACAAUAACCCAGCAGUAGUCAAGCCAAACCCAUAGUCCAAAAAGCCUAGCAACGGACUACUCAGAUAGAUAUUGAAAGAAAUAUGGAAAGAGAUGAAAUAAUAGAUCAAAUACAUAACAAAGUCCCAAAACCUGGUGGUAUCAGUACAAAAGAUUCUACAUAAUAAGAUUUCAAAGUAAAGUACAAAUGAAUACACUGAUAUAACUUAUCUCCAAAUACAAUAUAAAGACUAGUCUACUACAUAUGAGAGAGGUAAGUAAUACUCUGAACUUCAGGAGCUCACUCUAAGUCUCUAAACCAUAGAUGCUCUGUACGACGCACACCUUAAUAGUGAUAACCCAUAUAAUAAUCUGGAGGCUGCAGAAGUAUAGUAUGAGUACCAAACAUGUGGUACUCAGUAGGCAACUACUAACUGAGCUUCAAAUAUAAGGUAGAUAUAUAUAACAUAUAAACAGAAUGGAAAACUACACCAAACUGUCAAACAACCAUAUAAGAAAACUAGUGAGAUAAUAAGGAUAAACUAUCUUAUUCAUGUCCACAAGACUAUCAUAUUAAGGCAAAAAAAGUAGUAAGAAUACAAUAUCUUAUUCCAGCCAUAUUUAGGAAUCCAAAUUCAAUACCGUAUAUCACUCACCAAUACACAAAGUAAAGGUGAAAGGAAGAUAUAUAGAGGUAUACAAUACCAAGGAAUAAAUAUACAAUCUAAAUUAAUAAAAAGGAGGGAUAUAAGGUAACGUCCAGAUACAUAUAACUAGGUAUGCAUAUAUAUAAGUAUAUAACCAAGGUCUACUCGAAGUACAGCCUAGAUCAUCAGACUAGCUAUAAAAGACCUCAUAAUUAUAGCAGGAGCUAGUGCUAAAAUUCUCAGAGUUCUAAUCCAUAUAUCAAGUCAUCAUUUGGUCAUGCACAGUAAUAUAAUUAUAAGAGAAUGAGGUUAAAAUCAUACUUCAUGUCUAGAAAUCGAAUCAAUGACCAAUCUAUCAUAAACCAGCCAUAGCAAUGAUAAUAACAAUGACAAUAACAAUGCGAGUAAUCAGCUAUUUUGGACAGCCAAAUACCUAGUCAAUCCUAUGCAUACCACCAAUGCCCCAGGAUUGGAAGGCUCAAUCAACAUACAACAACAAAGGGCAUAGUCAUCACCAAUAUCUGUGCAACUGUCUUACAUCGACUGAUAGACAUAGGCAUACUAGUGAUAGGCGAUGCAUAUACAAGAAUGACUGCAAGGUACACAACCAAUAUAAUCAUCCUCCAGCCUUGUCGAGCAUCAUUAAAUCAUCAAAAUAUCCUCCCUUGUAGAGCAUCAUUAAAUCAUCAAAAUAUCCUCCAGCCUUGUCAGGCAUCAUCACAUUAUCAUAAUAUCCUCUGGCCUAGAAGAGCACUAUUAUAUCAUCAUAAUAUCCUCCAUCCUUGUCGGGCAUCAUCAUAUUAUCAUAAUAUGCUCUGACCUUGUCGAGCAUUAUCACAUUAUUAUAAUAUCCUUUGGCCUUGCCAGGCUGUCAUGACCUAAACCAGGGCCUGGAUGUGAUGGGUAUCUAAUGCCCAUAGAGGUCUGGAGACCACUCGCUUUUUUCCUAACCAUACAGAACAUAACACACCUAACAGUGGUUUAAAUCUGAACAUAUAAUAAGAUAAAAAGAUGGUAAAAUCAAGGAUGACUAUGAGUGACAACAUCAAUAUACAAUCCACAGUAAUAUCCUUGAAGCCUCUACUAAUUGGAAAACCAUCGAACAUUUGGACAUGCCUCUGACUCUUACAAUGAAAAUGACAAUGAUAAUGAAAUUAUUAAUGUGAACUCUUCGAUUCUAAUUUAUAAAAGAAAACUGAUGAAAUGACCAAGUCUUUUGGAUAAUGGAAGAUCACCACUUCACCACCAAUGACCGAUAAGCCAAACUAAUCCACCUAACACUGUAUAGGAAAAAUAAAAGUAUCUCCGGUUCCUCAUUACGUAGGGAUACAAUGUUCGGAGAUGGUUAGUGGGUUAAGCACUAGCAUGUAAUUCAAGGAUAGGGGUAAAAUAAUGCCAAGUCAAAUCCAAUUCAAAUUCUUCUUAACAUCAUCAUAUACAUGCAUAAGUAAUAUGACGGGAUAGGGAAAAAGACUUUGCAUAAUGUAAAAUAUUAUCCUGGACUAUGUAGCUUAACCUUCAUAAAAGGCACACACGACCUAUAUGGGUUCAUCUUCCCCUGCUUAAAGGGCCUUGGUGCGUGUUAGCCAUACGAACCAAAGGUAUUAAAAAGACCAUGGAAUGCCCCAACCCUAUGCCAAUCCAAGAUAUAAAUAUAUCCAUAGUGUGAACCAUGAACACAGUUCAGCAAGACCAAACCUCAUGUCGGCAAACAUGAGUUUCCAAUAUAAGUCAUUCAAGACCCACACCUUCAUGGCUUCGCUACAUAACCUCUAUUAAGCCCAAUAUAAAGCAAGUUUCACAUAACCCAUUUGUUAACCAAAGAACCAAUAAUUAAGGCGUACCAUAGGUAUCGUCAUACCCUUAUACAUACAUGCUUAUGUCUAUGUCAUAACAAUCAUAUUAACUUAGGGGAAUGCCUCGACCCCAUUUGUUUAUUAAAUCAAACAUAGCCGAAAAUGCCUUCAAAAGCUAUGUCCAUUUUUUAACUAUUUAUGCGAUGCAAUAACAUAAGUGAGUAAGCCAAAAACAAGUGACAAUUUCACAAUUCAAAGCUAUUUACACAAGUGGGUCAAGGGAAUACAAUUAUUCAAAACCAAUUCCAUUUUCAAAACAAUGAUUUGGUGGAAUACCACAAACCCCAUUCCAAUUCCAAUACACAUGAACCCCAUUAGUUCAAAACAUCAAUUUCAAAGAAUGAACAAUUCAUAAAAACCAUGGGAAAAUAAUCCAAGGACCAAUCCUUCAAAAACGCUCAACCACAUCAAAACCCACAUUCAAAACAAUUAAAUUAAACCAUGUAAAACAAAUGCUUUUCAUAAAAUAAGAAUUGGGGAAGAGUAACAUGCCUGGAAUACAAAGAUUUUUGGAGAAAAAUCAACCCUUGAUCCCUUAGAUGGCCAACUUCUUAGAAACCCUAAGUAUCUUGACCUUGGGGAAUUUAGAGAGUUUCCGAGUGUUUUGAUUGUUUUAUGGAUAAGAAAUAACCCCUUUGAGUGAUUUAUGGACGUGGGGUCUAAGUAAGGCGACACCCCCAAAUUACAAUUUUCUUUUAAAAGUGUAGGAGGUCAAAUAUAUAGACCAAUUAGGUUUAGGUCGAAUCCCUCAAGGAAUAUGGUGUUGAUUAAGAUGAUUUGUGAUUUAACUGAGUAAUAGCCAACCGUUUCCUUUAAAUGGGGGGUUUGAUCAUAACGAUUUAUAGUUAAUGUUUUGAUAUUGCUCAGAAAAUUAAAGUUAAUUUUAUGAAAUUUCAAAUUAGUAAUGAAUUCGAACUAGAGUUGUGAUCACUAUGAUUAAUAUCAAUGUAAAUUAGUAGUCAAGAAAUAUGAUUCUCUUGACUUAUGGGAACACCAAAUUAUCAACGUCUGCAAUUUAUCUAAGUGUUUUUCCACCUACGUAGAAUUAAGUUCCUUAAUUUUUUCAAACUUAGAGAAACUUACCAUUCUUGUUGAUUUUAUUUUGAGUUUAUUAAUCUUGUUAAAGCAUUAACCAUUAGAUGGAAAAUUUUCUUUCCAUAUCCUCGAUUGUAAUUUUCUACCUAUAGUUUCUUUCUUAUUUUAAGCAGACAAAUCUAAGGCAUGUUUCAUUGUUUGCAACCAAUAGAAAACAAUUAGUAAAAAUAGAAUUACCAAGAUGACUCCCACAACCAUUCAAAUCCAUCACAAACUACCAAUAAAAAAUGUAUAAACUAUAGCUUCCACAACUCUAGUUAUGGGGUUUAGUUCCUCAUGGAUUUAAGAAAGAUUUUGCAAGAAGAAUUCAUAAUUUAUAUGAAAGAGUUAUGCUUACAAAAAAUGAAUCAAAUGUUGUUCUCCUUCAAAGAUUCACCAAAUUUCCCCAAAAACUUGAUUAAAAGAUGAAUUUAGAACUUCAAUGCCAAAACAUAAACUAACAUUUUUGGAAGAUGAUCUUAGCUACCAAGGAAAACCUAAAAGAUACUAUUUAUAUCCUUAUAAUUCAAAAUACAAAACUUUCACACACUUAGGCUGACGACAAGGCUGAUCACCUAUCAGUUAGCUGAUGAUGAGGUUGAUUACUUAUCACUUAGCUGACAACAAGACUGAUGGCUUAUCACUUGGCUGAUGACUUGUUAAGAUAAUUGUCACUUGAGUCUUUAUACACUGUUUUAGGAUGACGACAAAAGGUGAUGGCUCAUCACAUCUAGUCACCAAAAUACUUUUUAUUCUUUUUUCUUUGGUGUCAUCAAAUCUUAAUUUUUCUACAUAAAUAAACAAAAUACAAUAAAUAAAACCAAGUUUCUUAAGAACUCACAAUUAUUCCAAGUUAAAAGCCUCAAAUAUGUUGUCAAAAGGCUAGCACAUCAAUACCCUCAACUUAAACACUUGUUUGUCCUCAAGCAACUAUAUAAUAUAGUACUAUGUACACAACCGAGCAUCAAUUAAUAGAAUAGCAUUUCUAUUUUCAAUUCAAACCCAUUUGGAAGAAUGUACUCCUUUUCCCAAGUGGUAACAAGAUUCCAUGAUUAUCUUCAAAGUUUAGCCAAGAAAAAUAAUACCUACACUUAGGGUAUUUAACCAAAUAUUCAGCAAUAACAAGUACCAUUCUUAUGACCUCACUAAAAGAAAGAAGUUCCUUGCACCAAAUGUUACUUUUAGUUUUGAGGAACUGGGAAUCAAAGCUCUCACCCUCACAAACAAGUUUCGAAUUGUGCACCUACGAUGCCAUAGACUUUCCCUUAGCUUUCUGUUUGGGUGAUCUAAUAGUUAAACUAAGGUCACUACAGGACUUUCUUAGCUUGUAUUGAAGGCUUAAGUCUUGGAAAAAUAAAUUUGGGAUUCUUAACUUAGCCUUGCCCCCCUUGUGUUUGCAAACUUAGCUACUUUCUUAUUUAUUUAUUUUGUUCCUUUAUUUGCCUUGCAUAGUGGAACAGUUUUCAUAAGUUGGUUCUAUUCUCUAGCACUUUGUCACAAUUUUAUUUAUUUUUUUACAACUAUUUUCACACCCUCUUUCAAUCAUUUACUCCUCUACCAUAGACAUCAUCAACUUAUGUAAUUUGCCUUAGUUGAUGUGUAUGAUAUCCAAAGGAAGGAAUGUGGACAAAAUAAAGUUUCAACUGUGAAAAUAUGGAAAAAUGGUUAGGUUGUGAAACAAAGAGAAAUAUAAUAGAUCAAAUAGGGAUAAAAAAGAUUUACUAAAAAUCUUUUGGUUUGUUCAUUUGACUAAGUAGACUACCUAUCAAAAAUGACUUGUGCUCAUUUCUUAGAUACCUACUUGCAACCUAACAGAAUGACCUGGGUAAGUUCUGGAUGGAUGUACACAAUAAGAAAGUAGUACAAAGACUUCACACACUCAUGGCAUAGAAUCGCAAUGUCAUAACUGACCAUUCAAUUAAUAUUCAACUUUAAGCAGAGGUUGCCAUAUUUGUAUACUUGCAUACUUGCAUAGACAUAUAUGGUUUUCCCAUGUACCACUUAAGCAUCAAUCUCACACGACAAAAUAGAUUUUGAUGGGUCCAAAAUUUCAAAACAUGGAAAAGAACAUUUUCUAUUCAUUAAUGUCCACUUUUUUUCAUUCAUAAUACACAAACCAUAAGCAAAACAUAAUUAAAACUAUCCUAAAACUCCUAAACAUAUCGCUUCUCUAGAUAGUACACAAUGGAAUAGAACAUAGCUAAUAAACCAUUAAGGUUUCAAGUACCCCCCACCCCCACAAUAAAAACAACGCAUUUUCCUCAAUGCAUUAUUGCUGAAAUUAAAGAACAUGGGUGAGGACAAAACUGCAGUGCCCUAGGCACUUGUGUCAUGCGACACAGAGUGUGCAGUUGUAUCAACAGUACUAGGAAAAUCAAUAAUAGAACCAGGUUCCACUAAUGCAUUCACAAUAGUGGUUGGUGGAGUAGAGUAAUCCCCAACAGUAUCAAUAGUACCCACUUCUUUGGGUGGUCCACUUGCGGAGGCUUCUACAGCUCUAGCCCAUAAUGAUUCUUCUUUUGGUUCAUCUUCUUCUUUCAAUUUCUUCAUUGAUUCUUUCAACUCUUUUUUUUUUAUUCUUUUAAAUCCUUUUCUUCUCUUAACUCCCCAUUUUUUGCCUUUUUCUUUUGAAACAACUGGUUUCCUAGUGAUAUCAUACAACACCUCUUCCUCUUUUUUUGAUUCCACAUCAACUAGGACUGAUACUUUUAAUGUUUUCCACUUUUGUAGAGCUAUAAUAUAUUCUCUUGAUCUUUCCAAUACUAUCUCAAAUUGAGCAAUAUCAGGAACAGUCACUUUGCUUAAUCUUUUAUUAACUAGAUGUUCCAUAUCAUCAAUAUGCCCAUGAAGAUUUGCAUAAGGUGCCAUGGCUUCUUUGAUUUUUCUAUCAACAAAUGGCUUAAAUUAUUUUGCCAACAACUUUAAUUGAGCAUCAAAUCUCUUUCCUUAUUUCACUAUCUUAUUUAAAAUUUUAAGGGGUGAGAGCAUACUCAAAAAUAGAAGUUGUGAUUAUUGUUGGUUCUUCCAUCACGAGUAUAGGCACUGUACCUGCAGAUGAAGUAGUAUUACCUAAUAAAUCUAUUUCAUACGUCAGAUAUCCGCACCCCCCUACAAAUGGUAUCAGAGCCCAGUAAUUCAAAAAAUAUGGAAGUGAGAUAUAUGUUAGAGUUAUUAGAAUUUACCUAUAAAUUAUUAAAUUAAUUAUGCGAAGACCAUUUAAAAAUAGAAAAGCUUUUAGAAAAAUUAAAGAAUCUUUAAUUAGUAAUUAUUCAGAAUAUAUAAGUUUAAAUAAAACAAAAGAAAACCCACAAAGAUUAGCCUACUUAAUUACAUUAAUAUCUGGUAUUGAAUCAAAAUUAAUAAUCCAUUUAAAAUCUAGAAGAAUGAAACACAUACUACCUAAUUAUGAUAAAAUUAGAUUUAGAUAUCCGCCAAGAUAUUAUAAAUAUAAUUUAAAAUGAAUAAAGUACAACAAUACAAAGAAUUAAAAUAAAUUAUUUCUGAAAAACGUAAAGAAUUAAAAAUAAGAAUAAAAAGACUACAUUAUAAUAUAUUUGCCGGAGUUAGCAAAAAUUCAAUAAAUACACAAAAAGAUGAAAUAAAUUAACAGCAAUGGUAAGAAUAGAAAAAGAAAAUGAAGAGAUAGAUAGGAAAAAAGAAAUAGAAAAAAUAAAACAACAAACUACGGAAGAAAUACGAAAAAUAGAAGAAACCAAAAAUAGUAGAAUUGCUGAAUUAGAAAAAGAAUUACAAAUGUUAAAAGAACUGUAUGAACAAAGACAAAAAGAAAAAGAAGAAAAAGAUAGAGAACAGAAAUUACUAAAUGAGAUAAAUCAAUUUAAGGAAAAAUUAGAAAUAAAAAAUGAAGAAUUAGAAAUAAAUAAUAUAGAUAUUGAAGAGACAGAUAAUUAUGAGUCCGAAGAUAGUGAAACAUACACAGAAAUAUUAACAAAUACAAAAAAUUUAGAAAUCAAUGAAGAACAAAAAAUUUAUGAGGAAAACUUAGAAAAUACCCACACAGAAAUAAAUACUCUUGAUAAAAAAGAAAAUGAAAAUAUAAUACCUAAAACAACAGAAAUAAGAAAACCUAUAUAUUAUAAGAAUAAGUUUAAAAAAUAUAAUGAAUAUGAUAAAUGGAUACCAAAACAAAUAGUGAAUAAAAAUUAUAACUUUUUAGAUCUAGACUGUGUAAUAGAUACAGAAAAAACAAUACAAUUAUGGAUAGGAUAUAUGACAAAACAAUUAUUAGAUAAUAAUAUAAAUAUAACAGAUGCACCGGAAUAUAUAGAAAAAACACUAAUAGGAUCAGUAAAACUAUGGUUUGCAAAUCUAACCGAAAAUAGCAAAAAAGUAUUAAGAACUAAUAAACCUAUAGAAGGAACAUCAUCGACAACAACUAAACUAACACCUAUAGAAUUAUUAAAAAAAUAUGAAACAGCUAUAAAAGAUGAAUUUGGUAGUACGACAACAAUCGAAGAAGAACAAAAUGAAGAAAAAGAUACAAAUAGAAAUUUAAUGUUAAAAUUAGCAAUAUGUAAUAUGUGUUAUAUAGAUGAAUAUACUUGCGCAUUUAAAGAAUAUUAUUACAAAGGAGCAUAUAGUAUAGAAGAAAGUAAAGAAAUAAGAAAAUUAUAUUUUAAUAAAUUACCCGAGCCAUUUAGUUCGAAAAUAAUAAAAAGUUGGGAAGAAGCAAAAAUAGUAGAUACGUUAGGAGCAAGAAUAAAAUAUUUACAACAAUGGUAUAGAAACUUAUGUGAAAAAUAUAGAGAAGAAUUAAAAAUGGAAAAAACAUUAAUAAGAAAUUUAGCUUGUUGCAAAAAUAAAAUAGCACCCCAAUUUGGAUGCGAAGAAAGAUAUUAUAAGAAAAGAAAAAGACAUAAGAAAUAUAAGAAAUAUAAAAAAUCAAAAUAUAAAUAUAAAAAACCAAGAAAAAGAUACUAUGUAAAAAAUUAUAAACAUAAAAGACCAUAUAGAAAAAAGAAAUCUAUAAAAGAAUGUACUUGUUAUAAUUGUGGAAAGUUAGGACAUUUAGCUAGAGAUUGUAAAUUACCUAAAAAUCCAAAAAAUAAACAAAUAUCAGAAAUAAAAAUAGAAAAUACCGAAUACAUGCAGAUAGAUUAUAUAGAUUAUGAAUUAGAAAGUGAAGAUAGUAUAUAUGAAAUUUCAGAAAACGAAACAGAUAAUGAAAUAGAUAGCGAAAUAGAUGAAUCAAAUGACUGAAGAAGAUAUAAAAAUAAUAACAAAGGAAGAAUAUUUAAAUGAUGAAGGAACGGAACAAAAAAUAAUAUUUGACAGUAAUAUAUUUGAUGAAAUAAAAGGAAAAGAAUUAGAUUUAAGUGUAGACAAAAUAUUUAAAAUACCAACAAUAAAAAAUAUUUUUACUAGGAAAAAAGAUGAAUAUUAUGUAGUAUGCCAAAAAGAACAUGUAAUAGAUUGCAGAUAUGCAAAAGGAAAAGCUAGUAUACCACUGGUAACAAAAAGAAUAAUUAAUAAAGAAAUAAAUGAUAUAAAAAGUAAAGGAGAUCCAAUAAAAUAUGUACACCUUGGAGGUACAGAGAUAUUAAUAAAAGCAUGUUUUAGAGAAGGAAUAGAUACACCAAUAGAAUUAUAUUUAGCAGACGAUAGAAUUAUAAAACCUAUAGAAAAAAGCAUAAUAACUGCCGUAAAAGGAAAUCUAAUAUACCAAAAAUUUAAAUUUAUAAUAAGUGCAAAUUAUUCAGUAGCAGUAACAGAUAGGAAUAUAGAUAAAUCAUUAGUAUUAUAUUGGAAAAUAUCAGGAAUAGAAUUAACCCCAGGAAGUAAAAUAUUUACAGCAAGAUGUAAAAAUCUAUAUGUAUUAACAACAAAACAUAAAAUAACAGGAAAAAAUAAGAUUAACAAAAUACAAAUAGAAAGCCCAUUCGAACAAAUAGUAAAAACAAUAGAUUAUAAUGAUUAUACCUAUAGAGACAUAGAUACAGAAGAAAAUUUAGAAAUAGUAAAUGAUAGAAUAAGUACAACGAAAAGAAUAGCUAAUGAAAAGCCAGAAUCAUCAAGCUCAUCAAAAAGAACAAGUUAUGAAACAAACUCAAUAAGUAAUUUAAACCAAUAUUACAUAACAGGAAAAAUAAAUGAAAAAGAAUAUUUAAUACUUUUGAAUACAGGACAAGAAGAAAAUUAUAUAGCAAAAUAUCUAGUAAAAAAUGAAGAAAUAAAAACCGACAAUAAUAUAUGCCCAGACUUACCAAGAAGUUUAAUAAAUAAUAAAAAUCUAGCAGAAAAAGAAAUAAUAUUAGGAGUUAGAAAAAUAAAAAUAGAAUUCGAAGUAAAAGAAGAAAUGCAAAAAGCAGAUAUAAUAUUAGGAAUAAAAUGGUUGGAACAAGUAAAACCAUAUAAUAUAGAACAUACACAAUUAACCUUAACAUAUAACCAAGAAAAGUUAUUCUUAAAAAGAGCCUUAACAUGAAAUGAAGAUACAUGUAUUAAUGAAGAUAGUAGUAGAAGGAUAUUACAGUAGAUAUUAUACGCCUAUGAUAGAUACAGGAGCAGAAGCUAAUUUAUGUAGAUAUAAUUGCUUACCAGAAAGCAAAUGGGAUAAACUAAAAACACCAAUAAUAGUUAAAGGAUUUAAUAAUGAAGGAAGCUUAAUUACUUAUAAAGCUAGGAAUGUAAAAAUACAAGUAUGGGAUAAGAUAUUAACAAUAGAAGAAAUUUAUAAUUAUGAAUUAACAUCAAAAGAUAUACUUUUAGGAAUGCCAUUUUUAGAUAAAUUAUACCCACAUAUAAUAACUAAAACAGACUGGUGGUUUACAACACCAUGCAAACAAAAAGUAAGAGCAAAAAGAGUUAAUAAUAAAAUAAGAAAGAAAACUGAUUGGAUAAAAGGAAGUGAAAAAAUUACACAAAAGUUAGAAAAUAUAAACAAUACUGAAGAUACAGUAGAACUAGUAGUAUUUUCGAUAAAUAAAACAGAAAUAACUAUAUUUUCAAUAAAUAAAAUAGAAAUAAUUCAGAAAAAAUUAGAACAAUUAUAUAGUGAAGAUCCAUUAAAAGGAUGGGAAAAACACAAAACUACUAUAAAAAUUGAAUUAAUAGAUAAGAAUAGCAUAAUAACACAAAAACCAUUAACAUAUAAUUUUGAUGAUUUAAAAGAAUUUAAAAUGCACAUAGAUGAAUUAUUAGAAAAACAAUAUAUACAAAAAAGUAAUAGUAAACAUAAUAGUCCAGCAUUUAUAGUAAAUAAACAUAGUGAACAAAAAAGAGGAAAAAGUAGGAUGGUAAUUGACUAUAGAAAUUUAAAUGCAAAAACUAUAACAUAUAAUUAUCCAAUACCAAAUAAGAUAUUAAAAAUAACGCAGAUACAAGGAUAUAAUUAUUUUAUUAAAUUCGAUUGUAAAUCAGAAUUUUACCACCUAAAGCUAGAAGAAGAAUCUAAAGAAUUAACCGCAUAUAUGGUACCACAAGGAUUUUAUGAAUGGAACGUAUUACCAUUUGGAUAUAAAAAUGCACUAGGUAGAUAUCAACAUUUU